This 468-nucleotide ribosomal RNA is filed under the name uncultured bacterium. RNAcentral's name for it is "partial 16S ribosomal RNA". It matches the Rfam family "Bacterial small subunit ribosomal RNA", at positions 28 to 507 of the family's 1533-position model. The record is from RNAcentral.
GACGAACGCUGGCGGCGUGCUUAACACAUGCAAGUCGAACGGAAAGGCCCUGCUUUUGUGGGGUGCUCGAGUGGCGAACGGGUGAGUAACACGUGAGUAACCUGCUCUUGACUUUGGGAUAACUUCAGGUAACUGGGGCUACUACCGGAUAGGAGCUCCUGCUGCGUGGUGGGGGUUGGAAAGUUUCGGCGGUUGGGGAUGGACUCGCGGCUUAUCAGCUUGUUGGUGGGGUAGUGGCUUACCAAGGCAUUGACGGGUAGCCGGCCUGAGAGGGUGACCGGCCACAUUGGGACUGAGGUACGGCCCAGACUCCUACGGGAGGCAGCAGUGGGGAAUAUUGCACAAUGGGCGGAAGCCUGAUGCAGCAACGCCGCGUGCGGGAUGACGGCCUUCGGGUUGUAAACCGCUUUCGCCUGUGACGAAGCGUGAGUGACGGUAAUGGGUAGAGAAGCACCGGCUAACUACGUG